UUUCUUACGGGACGCAGCAGUGGGGAAUAUUGGGCAAUGGACGCAAGUCUGACCCGGCAACGCCGCGUGAAGGAAGAAGGCUUUCGGGUUGUAAACUUCUUUUAAGGGGGAAGAGCAGAAGACGGUACCCCUUGAAUAAGCCACGGCUAACUACGUGCCAGCAGCCGCGGUAAUACGUAGGUGGCGAGCGUUGUCCGGAUUUACUGGGUGUAAAGGGCGUGCAGCCGGAGAGACAAGUCAGAUGUGAAAUCCACGGGCUCAACCCGUGAACUGCAUUUGAAACUGUUUCCCUUGAGUGUCAGAGG
Molecule: ribosomal RNA, 305 nt
Filed under: uncultured bacterium
Lineage: Bacteria
Description: bacterial SSU rRNA
Rfam family: Bacterial small subunit ribosomal RNA
Source: RNAcentral